UCGUAGGAAAUCUACCUUAUAGAGGGGGAUAACCUGGGGAAACUCGGGCUAAUACCGCAUAAUCUCUUUGGAGCAAAGCGGGGGAUCUUCGGACCUCGUGCUAUAAGAUGAGCCUACGUCGGAUUAGCUUGUUGGUGGGGUAAUGGCCUACCAAGGCGACGAUCCGUAGCUGGUCUGAGAGGACGAUCAGCCACACUGGGACUGAGACACGGCCCAGACUCCUACGGGAGGCAGCAGUGGGGAAUAUUGGACAAUGGGGGAAACCCUGAUCCAGCAAUGCCGCGUGUGUGAAGAAGGCCUUCGGGUUGUAAAGCACUUUCGGUGGGGAAGAAAUUCUCAAGGGUAAUAUCCUUGGGCGUUGACGUUACCCACAGAAGAAGCACCUGUGCCAGCAGCCGCGGUAAUACAGAGAGUGCAAGCGUUAAUCGGAAUCACUGGGCGUAAAGCGCGCGUAGGUGGAUAUUUAAGUCGGAUGUGAAAGCCCUGGGCUUAACCUGGGAAUUGCACCCGAUACUGGGUAUCUUGAGUAUGGUAGAGGGAAGUGGAAUUUCCGGUGUAGCGGUGAAAUGCGUAGAUAUCGGAAAGAACACCAGUGGCGAAGGCGACUUCCUGGACCAAUACUGACACUGAGGCGCGAAAGCGUGGGGAGCAAACAGGAUUAGAGACCCUGGUAGUCCACGCCGUCAACGAUGAGAACUAGCUG
RNAcentral lists this ribosomal RNA (703 nucleotides) under uncultured Coxiella sp. RNAcentral's name for it is "bacterial SSU rRNA". It matches the Rfam family "Bacterial small subunit ribosomal RNA", at positions 115 to 822 of the family's 1533-position model. The record is from RNAcentral. Lineage: Bacteria; Pseudomonadati; Pseudomonadota; Gammaproteobacteria; Legionellales; Coxiellaceae.